CCCUUAGAUGUUCUGGGCUGCACGCGCGCUACAAUGACAUACGCAGCAAGUUUCCUUUUUCGAAAGAAUGGGGUAAUCUUGUUAGUGUUUGUCGUAUUUGGGAUAGAAUAUUGUAAUUAUUGCUCUUUAACGAGGAAUUCCUAGUAAGCACAAGUCAACAGCUUGUGCUGAUUACGUCCCUGCCCUUUGUACACACCGCCCGUCGCUCCUACCGAUCGAAGAGUUAGGUGAAUUGUUUUGAUCGAUAAGAUUUGACUAUGGUCAACUCUCGUUGUGAAAUUCUGUGAAUCUGACUGUUUAGAGGAAGGAAAAGUCGUAACA
RNAcentral lists this ribosomal RNA (321 nucleotides) under uncultured eukaryote. RNAcentral describes it as "partial 18S ribosomal RNA". It matches the Rfam family "Eukaryotic small subunit ribosomal RNA", at positions 1470 to 1796 of the family's 1831-position model. The record is from RNAcentral.